AAUGAACGUUGGCGGCGUGGAUUAGGCAUGCAAGUCGCGCGAUAAAUGUAGCAAUACAUGGAAAGCGGCGAAAGGGACAGUAACGUGUGGGAACCUACCUCGGGGUCUGGGAUAGCGGCGGGAAACUGCCGGUAAUACCAGAUGACAUCCCCGGAUCAAAGGUGUGAUUCCGCCCUGAGAUGGGCCCACAUGCCAUUAGUUAGUUGGCGGGGGAAUGGCCCACCAAGACUAAGAUGGCUAGCGGGUGGGCGAGCACGACCCGCGUCACUGGGACUGAGACACUGCCCAGACACCUACGGGUGGCUGCAGUCGAGAAUCUUCGGCAAUGGGCGCAAGCCUGACCGAGCGACGCCGCGUGCGGGAUGAAGGCCCUCGGGUUGUAAACCGCUGUCGAGGGGGAUGAAAUUCCGGUGGGUACUCCCAUCGGAUUGACAGAUCCCUGGAGGAAGGGUGGGCUAAGUUCGUGCCAGCCGCCGCAGUAA
Molecule: ribosomal RNA, 482 nt
Filed under: uncultured bacterium
Lineage: Bacteria
Description: partial 16S ribosomal RNA
Rfam family: Bacterial small subunit ribosomal RNA
Source: RNAcentral